GGGGUGAAGGGUGUGUGAGGAGGGUUUGGUCCAUCUCCUGCUCUUACACACACACACACUUUCCUAUGGCACUGUGUGUGUGUGUGUGUGUGUGUGUGUGUGUGUGUGUGUGUGUGUGUGUAAGGUUUCCUCCGGUUUCCUUCACCCUCCAAACACAUGCUGGUGGAAUGGCAAGACUAAACUGCCCCAGCUGUGGAAGUGUGUCCUGUCCGGGGUGGACACACAGGUGUAGAGAGAGAGAGAGAGAGAGAGAGAAGAGAGAGAGAGAGAGAGAGAGAGAGAGACAGUGCAGUAUGCUGUGUAGGAGAGACAGUGCAGUAUGUUGUAGAGACAGUGCAGUAUGUUGUAGAGAGAGAGAGAGAGAGAGAGAGAGACAGUGCAGUAUGUUGUGUAGAGAGAGAGAGAGAGAGAGAGAGAGAGACAGUGCAGUAUGUUGUGUAGAGAGAGAGAGAGAGAGAGAGAGAGAGGACAGUGCAGUAUGUUGUGUAGAGAGAGAGAGAGAGAGAGAGAGAGAGAGAGACAGUACAGUAUGUUGUGUAGAGAGAGAGAGAGAGAGAGAGAGAGAGGAGAGAGAGAGAGAGAGAGAGAGAGUACAUUUCCUGUACACUUAUAUAACUCUCACUCUCGCACCAUCUGCUCCACCUGUCCAUUACACACUGGUGUAACUUGUCAUCCAUCCUGACUGCUUCA
Ictalurus punctatus (channel catfish) is the source of this 690-nucleotide long non-coding RNA. Lineage: Eukaryota; Metazoa; Chordata; Actinopteri; Siluriformes; Ictaluridae. The record is from Ensembl.